UACGAAGGGGGCUAGCGUUGCUCGGAAUCACUGGGCGUAAAGCGCACGUAGGCGGCUUAUUAAGUCAGGGGUGAAAUCCUGGAGCUCAACUCCAGAACUGCCUUUGAUACUGAUGAGCUUGAGUUCGGGAGAGGUGAGUGGAACUGCGAGUGUAGAGGUGAAAUUCGUAGAUAUUCGCAAGAACACCAGUGGCGAAGGCGGCUCACUGGCCCGGUACUGACGCUGAGGUGCGAAAGCGUGGGGAGCAAACAGG
RNAcentral lists this ribosomal RNA (253 nucleotides) under uncultured bacterium. Its description in RNAcentral is "partial 16S ribosomal RNA". It matches the Rfam family "Bacterial small subunit ribosomal RNA", at positions 524 to 776 of the family's 1533-position model. The record is from RNAcentral.